This is a non-coding RNA of Lates calcarifer (barramundi perch), 964 nucleotides long. Lineage: Eukaryota; Metazoa; Chordata; Actinopteri; Centropomidae. The record is from the annotation of a RefSeq genome assembly.
GUGUGUGUGUCAGUGAGAGGACAGAAGAGCUCACGUCAGUUCAGCUUCAACAUCAACCAUGUUCUCUGUAGCUCUGAUACUGCUGCUGGCAGCUGGAUCAUGUGUGAAGUGUGAACAGUUGACACAGCCAGCCUCUUUGACUGUGCAGCCAGGUCAACGUCUGACCAUCACCUGUCAGGUCUCAUAUUCUGUUAGCAGCUACUACACAGCUUGGAUCAGACAGCCUGCAGGGAAAGGACUGGAGUGGAUGAGUAGUGACUCAAGCGUCAAAGAUUCACUAAAGAACAAGUUUAGUGUCGACUUAGACUCUUCCAGCAACACAGUGACUCUAAAUGGACAGAAUGUGCAGCCUGAAGACACUGCUGUGUAUUACUGUGCCAGAGACACACAACAACACAAACCAUCUGUAGACCUGAACAAAAACCCCUCAGUGCCUGAACACUUGUAACAUGAAGCCACCAGAGGAGGAGCCCUUAGACCACUAAUGAUUUCACACCAGUUCACUGUUACAGUAAAGGGGGAAACAGUUUUCUUUGCAUCUCUCUAUUUUCCCUGCAUUGCCUCACAAUAAUUUGUGCUUUUCCAGAAUGAUAAUUGACUAGAGCACAGACUCAACUAGCAAUAUAUGAUCUGUCAAAAGGCCUCAAUCUGACAAAAGUUAGUUUGUGUGCAGUGACUGUGAGUUUUGAAUGAGAGUUUAUCUAAUCACAGCAGCAUUAAUAUGAUUUAAUUAACACUCAUUCAGUGAAUUACAGAAUUGUAUUAAAUAAUAAGGCCUAUCUCAUACUGAGCAUUACCCACAAUAGAACAAUUAAUAAUUAAUAGAUAAUAUUGUUGAAGGUUUAUAGAAUUCACUGAAUGGCAGAGGCAAUUUUUUGUUUCUGUUGAUAUCUCUCUCUUCAACUUAUGAAAAGAUAAAAAAUAAAAAUGAAAUUGCUGAAAACUUAACAGAGCGCAAUCAUUG